RNAcentral lists this ribosomal RNA (167 nucleotides) under Salmonella enterica subsp. enterica serovar Rissen. RNAcentral describes it as "partial 16S ribosomal RNA". It matches the Rfam family "Bacterial small subunit ribosomal RNA", at positions 1 to 161 of the family's 1533-position model. The record is from RNAcentral. Lineage: Bacteria; Pseudomonadati; Pseudomonadota; Gammaproteobacteria; Enterobacterales; Enterobacteriaceae.
AAAUUGAAGAGUUUGAUCAUGGCUCAGAUUGAACGCUGGGGGCAGGCCUAACACAUGCAAGUCGAACGGUAACAGGAAGCAGCUUGCUGCUUCGCUGACGAGUGGCGGACGGGUGAGUAAUGUCUGGGAAACUGCCUGAUGGAGGGGGAUAACUACUGGAAACGGUG